CUCCUCGUCUUCGGCGUCAUCAUCAUCGCCGUCGUCAUCAUCAUCGUCGUCGUCGUCCCCUGCAAUGUCCGAGUCCCAUUCCUCCUCGUCCUGGCUCUCGCCCCCACUCGCCUCACCCUCCUCAGUCGGAGUUUGUGCCCCAUUGGGCAUCGAGUACAGCUCGGUGAGGGCCUAGCAGAUAUCAAGACAAUGAUCAGUCGACCAGUCGGCAGAGUAAACAGAAAUGAAUACGACAAGGGCGCAGUGGAGAGCAGAGCAAGUGUACCUUGUUUGGGUCGCUGUUGUGGUCGAGUGGAGGAAUCCUUCUGGCUCCGCGCGGGUUGUCCUUGUUUCCGGUAACGGCUACCAUCCAUCUUUCCAGAGUGACGUCGUCGACUGCUUCUGGAUGGACUCUAGUCUCGUCUUCGGUCCCACAGUACAACCACAUGCAGUGGCUCCGGAAUUGAAGGGGUUGGAUGCGACGCCUGAGGAAGACCUCCAGAAGAUCCAUGCCCGUCACCCCCUCCCGAACCAACUGCACCACGCGCUCCAUCAACAUCUUCACGUCGGCUUUCUCCUCCGGAAUCAGCUUCAGAGGGGACGGCUUGUUCACUCGGUCCAUGGUAAACGAAGGGAGUCCACUCGACUGCCCUGGCGUCGACUGGACCUGGCAGUAGAACCAAGUCGACUGCCAGCCUCUGACGGACUCGGGAAAGGUCAUGGGCGGGAAGGUGCUCUUAUUCCUCACCUGGAUCCCCAGGCCCCCACACAUUUGGACGACUCGGGUUCUCUCAUCACCUGGGCUCGCCUUCUUCACGGUCUGAGAGCGACACGUGAAUAUAUGUUUGAACAAACCCCAGUGCGGUCGACAGCCCAAGAAACCCUCACACAUGGACACGAAUGCAGCAAGAUAGGCAAUGGAGUUUGGGGUAAAGUGGUGAAGCUGCGCUCCAAAGAAAUUCAAGAAGCCACGGAAGAAAAUACUUGGCGGCAAGGAAAACCCACGAUCAACAUGAGUGGCCAAAAGCACACACUCACCCUCUUCUGGCUGUGGCUGCCACUCCUUCCCCGGCAACCUCGCAGCUCCGUGAGGGAUCAAGCCCUCGUUGGCCAUGUCAAGGAGGUCCUUCUCUGUGAUGGUCGACUGGAUCCAGUCUCCUUGGACCCAGCCCUUCGGCAGGCGGGAUCUGGACGAGGACCCUCCGCGGCUGGUGGAUCUCCCCUUCGCCUUCUCCGACGCCGACGCCUUCUUGGCGCGCUCCAGCGCCGCCGUCUUCUCCUUGGCCAUGGUCGCCGGAGAGAUGCGCGAAGGGAAGUGGUGCGGGGGCAAGAGCGAGCACGCUGAGCUGGGAAGAAGGAAGCAGAGAGAGAGGGAGAAUGCUGGGGCGCAGCACAGAAAUCCUCGCCGGGCGCAUUUAUAAGGUCCCUUCCGAGUGGCUGACAUGUGGGCCCGGUCGAUCUAAUCAUAUCUAAGAGCAGUUAUGCAGGCUGGAUACGUGGCGAAAAAGGCGGCGCGGAGAUCGAGGCGUCUAUGCCCCGUCCCAUCUGAACGCCGCGGUCCGCCCCGCUUCGCGCGCGCCCCAAAAUUUCGCAUCCCGCGGAAUCUGCGAGCAACAAAUCAGUCUGUCAGACGCGGUGUUUCCGGCGAUCCGUCGCUCGGAGAUCGUCGAAGCCCGAAAGAUCACUCGACGCAAAAACAGAAUGGAUCGAGUCGACUGAAGGCAAAUUGCUCCCUGUCAACGAAGAGAUUCUUUGGUCCAGAACAGCGCACAACUAGAGCGCAAAGGUCAAUCGGAAACGACAUCAACUCCUUCUUCACUCGAAGCCUCAAUCCAUUCGGGGGCUAAUGAUGGGGUUGUGUACCUAGGGUAGGAUCAUGGACCUGAUCCAAGUAACUUACCCUAGGACAUCCUUAGAAGAGGUCACCUUCCAGUCGACCAACGAGGAUUCACUCGACUGGCCUGAAGGACUCGACCACGAAGACUCACUCGACCACCAGGAGGUCAAGAGGCACUCUGCACUGCAACGGCCUGUAAUCAAGUAGACUUUAUGAUAGUAAAGGCACUUUAUGUGGGGCGUUACCAGUAACGCCCCAGACUUAACUCACCUUAAACCCUCUCCUGCGUGGGCUGGCUAGGGUCCUGGCGCACUCUAUAUAAGCCACCCUCCUCCACAGGCAGAGGGGUUCGGCACCUUGUAAUUCAUACAUUCAUAAUCCACUCAACCGCCUCCGGGCUCCGAGACGUAGGGCUGUUACUUCUUCCGAGAAGGGCCUGAACUCGUACAUCCUUUGUGCUUACAACCUCUCCAUAGCUAGGACCUUGCCUCUCCAUACCUACCCCCCACUCUACUGUCAGGCUUAGAACCACGACAGUUACCGCUUUGCUCAGCCCCUCUUAUAGCAUUGUUAGUUGCAGGUGAAGUUGAAGAUUGCUCCAUGGUGGACAGGAUUAUGUUGGGAUAUCACAAUAUCUCUUAUUUAAUUAAUGCAUCUAUAUACUUGGUAAAGGGUGGAAGACUCGGCCUUAUGCCUGGUGUUUUGUUCCACUCUUGCCGCCCUAGUUUCUGUCAUACCGGUGUUAUGUUCCCGGAUUUUGCGUUCCUUACGCGGUUGGGUGAUUUAUGGGACCCCCUUGACAGUUCGCUUUGAAUAAAACUCCUCCAGCAAGGCCCAACCUUGGUUUUACCAUUUGCCUCACCACCACCUACUUUUCCCUUGGGAGUCGCUCUCUCGAGGGUCAUCUUAAUUUUAGCCCCCCGGGCCAGUGCUUGUCUAAGUGUUGGUCCGAACCGAGCAGCCUGCGGGGCCACCUCGGGGAAACUUGAGGAUUGGUUUUACUCGUAGCUUGACUUAUCCGGUGUUGCCCUGAGAACGAGAUAUGUGCAACUCCUAUCGGGAUUAUCGGUGCAUCGGGCGGCUUUGCUGGUCUUGUUUUACCAUUGUCGAAAUGUCUUGUAAACCGGGAUUCCGAGACUGAUCGGGUCUUCCUGGGAGAAGGUAUAUCCUUCAUUGAUCGCGAGAGCUUAUCAUGGGCUAAGUUGGGACACCCCUGCAGGGUAUAAACUUUCGAAAGCCGUGCCCGCGGUUAUGUGGCAGAUGGGAAUUUGUUAAUGUCCGGUUGUAGAUAACUUGACACCAGAUCCGAAUUAAAACGCAUCAACCGCGUGUUUAGCCGUGAUGGUCUCUUUUCGGCGGAGUCCCGGAAGUGAACACGGUUUCGGGGUUAUGUUUGACGUAAGUAGGAGUUCAGGAUCACUUCUUGGUCAUUGCUAGCUUCACGACCGUUCCAUUUGCUCUCUUCUCGCUCUUAUUUGCGUAUGUUAGCCACCAUAUAUGCUUAGUCGCUGCUGCAACCUCACCACUUUACCCCUUCCUUACCCUUUAAGCUUUGCUAGUCUUGAUACCCAUGGUAAUGGGAUUGCUGAGUCCUCGUGGCUCACAGAUUACUAAAACAACAGUUGCAGGUACAUGUUAUGCGAUGAUCAUGAUGCGAGAGCUAUGUUUGCUUGUUUUGGAGUUCUCCUUCUGCUUCUUAUUUGAUCAGGGGAUAGGUUCCAGGUCGGCAGCCUGGGCUAGUAGGGUGGAUGUCGUUUGAGCUUCUGUUUGUGUUUCAUCCGUAGUUGGAUGUUGUUCUCUUAUGUAUGAUGAUGAUGUAUUGUUGUAUUCGUGUGGCAUUGUAUGCCUUAUGUAUGUAUCCCCAUCUAUUAUGUAAUGUUGAUGUCAUGAUAUCCACCUUGCAAAAGCGUUUCAAUAUGCGGGUCUAUCCUUGGUGGGACCUUCGUAGUUCCUUUUGGAUAGGGUCGCAUAUUGGGCGUGACAACUAGGUAGCACAGUUAAAAGUUGGCACGAUAAAAUAUAGCCGAUCAGUCUAGAAAUGAUGUGAUGGGGUAUUAAACUUGCAAGUAACAAGUACUAGGGGUAAUACCAGAAGGUAAAUCAGAGUAGAGGUUGGACGGGGGAAAUGAUUUGCAGAGCACAAGUAAAUAUGAUCGGAAUCACGAUUGCAAAGGAUCAAUUCAUAGAUACAAGAUGAACUUGUACCAAGGAAAUAACUAUUUUACGAGCAUCUUCCAUGAUAAGUUCUACAUCGGGUCCAUGGGCAUGAACACAAAGGUUCAAGGUCGACUCCCAUUUCUUCAAUGCAUAGCCUUUCAUUUACUCCUCGUUUUCGAAGAAAUUGUAGUGCGGAAGAUUUAUCUGGCGAAGUACCAGAAGAGUAUGACUCGCAUAACUUUCGAGUGCAGACGGAUUAAGGAGGGCAUAGAUUCAACACAUAGGGGCAUCUUGGGAACAUAUACCACGUAUUUCAAUAAUAAAUGACGCAAGUUCAUAGGUAGAGCAUGGUUGACAAAAGCAGAGGGUACAAUUUACCAAAGGCAUUAUGUAUCUGAGGAAUUACUCGCAAGGUUGUUGAAUUUGAAGGAAAUUGUUGGGUAAUAAUUCAUCAAAGGAUCUAGCGGACCACAAGGGGUCUGAUGUGAGUAACGGACCAUUAGGCUAACUAACACCUAACUGGCAUUUCCUAUUUGGCGCUACAGGCGCCCGUUAAUGUGUAUUUCGCAAAUGGGCGCCUGCAGCGCCUCGCACUGGGCCGGCCCAACUAGUUUUCAGUUCUCUGUGUUAAAGUGACAAAAAAUCAUGACUUAUGUGUGCUGUAGGAUUCGAACCCGCGAAGCUGUGGUUCCACCGAACAUGCAACAACCACCCGACCCGCUUCACCUUUGUGAAAUUAUUGAUAUUCUUUCUUUUUUGUUCUUCCGUCUUCCUUUUCUUUUCCUUUUUUUGAUUCUUUUCCUGUCAUUUUUGUUUUUCUUUUUCCUUUUUAUUUUUAAUAAUGUGAGAAAUAUUCAGAAGAUUUAUAUGAACGUUUUUUCAGUUCGAUGAACUUUUUUCAAAAUCAUUGAAAUUAUUUUCAAAUUCGAUGAACUCUUUUCUAAUUCGAUGAACUUUUAUCGAAUUCAAUGAACUUUUUUCAAAAUCUGAUGAACUUUUUAUCUAAAUCAAUGAACUUUUUUCAAAAUUCAUGAACUUUUAUAAAAAUCCAUGAACUUUUUUCAAUUUUCUUGAACUAUAUUGAAUUUCGUGAACUUUUUCGAUCCUUGAACUUUUUUCAAACUCGUGAACUUUUAUGAAAAUCGAUGAACUUUUUUCAAUUUUCUUGAACUAUAUUGAAUUUCGUGAACUUUUUCCAGUCCGUGAACUUUUCUCAAACUCGUGAACUUUUUUCAAUUCGUUAACUUUUCUGAAAUUAGUGGACCUUUUCAAAUUUAUGAACUUUUUCUUGAACUUGUGAACUUUUUUCAAUUUUCGUGAGCUUUUUUUUAAUAUCUGAACCAUUACUUUUUGAAACAAUUUUGUGAACUUUUUUAAAAUCUGGGAACUUCUAAAUUUUGGACCAGCACGGCUGCAAUUGUACUUAAAUAACACGCACUACAAGUAGUAAGUAUUGUGACGUGGCUGCAGUGGUUAGCGAAGCAGCGGCGCGCGAGUUCGAAUCCUCAACACGAACCUAUUUUUCCUACGAUUUUUUGCUGCUGCUGCUUGUUCGUGGGCCGGCCCAGCGCGGGGCGCUGCAGGCGCCAACAGCGUGAACGGGCGCCUGCAGCGCCGUAUAGGAGCUCCCCACCUAACUGACCUAAUUAGUACUAGUUAAUUAGAACGGGGCCAGCCUUAGUGGACAGAGCCCAGCCGGCCUCACGGUGGCUGUGCACACACGCACAAGCACACGGCGGCUAUGGCCAGCCACGGCCAGUAGCUCACACGAGAGAGGCCGGGGGCUCAGGGCGGCGAAGGGCAGCGGCGCAGAAGGGCACGGCGAGGCCGCGGCCGGCACAGGCGCGGUAGGGCGCGGGGCAAGCGGCAGCAACGUAGCGCAGCAGCAGCAGUGGCCGCAGUACCCAGCAGUAGCAGCACGCAAGCAGUAGCGUAGGUGUGGUAAGCAGAAUAGCCCGGCGGCAAGCAGCAGAGCAAAACAGCGGCAACAGCUUGCAGCUAAAACAGAGCAGCGGCAGUACGCACACAUGUACGCAAACACGGAAGCUCGCUCAUGACGGUGUCGGCGGCCUAUGGCGUACAAAUCAAAGGGAAAAAAAGGGGAUCAGAGGGAGGAGCUCACCACGGGGUAGAUGAUGUGCUCGGAGAGGUCGGGGACGGACCGGAGCGGUGGCAAUUGACCACGGACGACGAGGAUGUACGCGGUGGAAAUGAGGUCGAUAGUGAGCGUAUAGGGUGGCUCCGCUCGAAUUGAUGCUCUGGACGGACGUAGUCGACGGUGACGAUCCUCCUGGACUAAUCGAUGCAGCGAACGUUGGUUGGUGGCCGCGGGAUCGACGGCGGCACGUCGGCGACCGCGCUCAGGCAAACAAGACAGAGGGGGAGAGGGCGAAGCGGCGCGAGGGGAGGGCAAGUGGGGGCUAGGGUUCGCCUGGGGGGUCGUGGGGUCGGACUUUAUGCUCCAGGGGAGCAGGCAGAUGGCCGGCACGCGGCCAGGGAAUGGCCAU
Molecule: long non-coding RNA, 6480 nt
Filed under: Triticum aestivum (bread wheat)
Lineage: Eukaryota; Viridiplantae; Streptophyta; Magnoliopsida; Poales; Poaceae
Description: long non-coding RNA (TAES_LNC003844)
Source: RNAcentral